UACGGAGGAUCCAAGCGUUAUCCGGAUUUAUUGGGUUUAAAGGGUGCGCAGGCGGAAGAUUAAGUCGGCGGUGAAAUUUUGCAGCUCAACUGUAAAAGUGCCAUCGAUACUGGUUUUCUUGAGUGUGGAUGAAGUAGGCGGAAUUUGUGGUGUAGCGGUGAAAUGCAUAGAUAUCACGAGGAACUCCGAUUGCGCAGGCAGCUUACUAAGCCAUAACUGACGCUCAGGCACGAAGGCGUGGGGAUCAAACAGGAUUAGA
Molecule: ribosomal RNA, 259 nt
Filed under: uncultured prokaryote
Description: partial 16S ribosomal RNA
Rfam family: Bacterial small subunit ribosomal RNA
Source: RNAcentral